This 468-nucleotide long non-coding RNA is filed under the name Salmo salar (Atlantic salmon). Its description in RNAcentral is "lncRNA (ENSSSAG00000082075.1)". The record is from RNAcentral. Lineage: Eukaryota; Metazoa; Chordata; Actinopteri; Salmoniformes; Salmonidae.
CUCCCCUCCUCCUGUAGACUGUGGUCUGUGUUGGAUGUUGCUGUUCAGUCUGUGUCCUGUGUCUGCUCUCCUCUACUCUGCCUGCGUCUACUCCUUCUAUAGAACAACAGCUCCAACUGAGACUCAGGUUCCUCUGAACAGGACCACCACCAGGGGAAGUGACAGCAGAGAGCAGACUACAGUCAAAACCUAUACCAUCCAUCAAUACCAGCAGAGUGAGACCUAUACCAGCCAUCAAUACCAGCAGAAUGUGAGACCUAUACCAUCCAUCAAUACCAGCAGAGUGAGACCUACACCAGCCAUCAAUACCAGCACAGUGUGGGACCUAUACCAUCCAUCAAUACCAGCAGAGUGAGACCUAUACCAGUCAUCAAUACCAGCACACUGAGACCUAUACCAUCCAUCAAUACCAGCAGAGUGUGAGACCUAUACCAAUGUAGCUGGGAGGACAUUAUUUUUAAGAGUUAC